UCCUACGGGAGGCAGCAGUGGGGAAUAUUGCACAAUGGGCGCAAGCCUGAUGCAGCCAUGCCGCGUGUGUGAAGAAGGCCUUCGGGUUGUAAAGCACUUUCAGCGAGGAGGAAGGCAUCACACUUAAUACGUGUGGUGAUGACGUACUCGCAGAGAGCCCCGAAUCCCCCC
RNAcentral lists this ribosomal RNA (171 nucleotides) under Rahnella aquatilis. RNAcentral's name for it is "partial 16S ribosomal RNA". It matches the Rfam family "Bacterial small subunit ribosomal RNA", at positions 337 to 504 of the family's 1533-position model. The record is from RNAcentral. Lineage: Bacteria; Pseudomonadati; Pseudomonadota; Gammaproteobacteria; Enterobacterales; Yersiniaceae.